CUACGGGGCGCAGCAGUAAGGAAUAUUGCACAAUGGGGGAAACCCUGAUGCAGCAACGCCGCGUGGACGAAGAAGGCCUUCGGGUCGUAAAGUCCUUUUCUGAGGGAAGAGGAAAGACGGUACCUCAGGAAUAAGUCUCGGCUAACUACGUGCCAGCAGCCGCGGUAAAACGUAGGAGGCGAGCGUUAUCCGGAUUCACUGGGCGUAAAGGGCAAGUAGGCGGUUGUUUAAGUUAGGUGUGACAUCUCUCGGCUUAACUGGGAGGGAGCGCUUAAAACUAGGCAACUAGAGGGCGGAAGAAGGGGGUAGAACUCCAAAUGUAGCGGUGGAAUGCUCAGAUAUUUGGAAGAAUACCAGUGGCGAAGGCGACCCCCCGGUCCGUGCCUGACGCUGAGAGGCGAAAGCUAGGGUAGCGAACGGGAUUAGAUACCCGCGUAGUC
This 440-nucleotide ribosomal RNA is filed under the name uncultured bacterium. RNAcentral's name for it is "partial 16S ribosomal RNA". It matches the Rfam family "Bacterial small subunit ribosomal RNA", at positions 339 to 795 of the family's 1533-position model. The record is from RNAcentral.